RNAcentral lists this ribosomal RNA (491 nucleotides) under uncultured bacterium. Its description in RNAcentral is "partial 16S ribosomal RNA". It matches the Rfam family "Bacterial small subunit ribosomal RNA", at positions 29 to 507 of the family's 1533-position model. The record is from RNAcentral.
GUGCACGCUGGCGGUAGGCCUAACACAUGCAAGUCGAACGGCAGCACAGUAAGAGCUUGCUCUUACGGGUGGCGAGUGGCGGACGGGUGAGGAAUACAUCGGAAUCUACUUUUUCGUGGGGGAUAACGUAGGGAAACUUACGCUAAUACCGCAUACGACCUACGGGUGAAAGCAGGGGAUCUUCAGACCUUGCGCGAUUGAAUGAGCCGAUGUCGGAUUAGCUAGUUGGCGGGGUAAAGGCCCACCAAGGCGACGAUCCGUAGCUGGUCUGAGAGGAUGAUCAGCCACACUGGAACUGAGACACGGUCCAGACUCCUACGGGAGGCAGCAGUGGGGAAUAUUGGACAAUGGGCGCAAGCCUGAUCCAGCCAUACCGCGUGGGUGAAGAAGGCCUUCGGGUUGUAAAGCCCUUUUGUUGGGAAAGAAAAGCAGCAGGUUAAUACCCCGCUGUUCUGACGGUACCCAAAGAAUAAGCACCGGCUAACUUCGUG